Molecule: ribosomal RNA, 260 nt
Filed under: uncultured prokaryote
Description: partial 16S ribosomal RNA
Rfam family: Bacterial small subunit ribosomal RNA
Source: RNAcentral
UACGUAGGUGCAAGCGUUAUCCGGAAUUAUUGGGCGUAAAGAGCGCGCAGGUGGUUGAUUAAGUCUGAUGUGAAAGCCCACGGCUUAACCGUGGAGGGUCAUUGGAAACUGGUCGACUUGAGUGCAGAAGAGGGAAGUGGAAUUCCAUGUGUAGCGGUGAAAUGCGUAGAGAUAUGGAGGAACACCAGUGGCGAAGGCGGCUUCCUGGUCUGUAACUGACACUGAGGCGCGAAAGCAUGGGGAGCAAACAGGAUUAGAUA